AUUGAACGCUGGCGGCAGGCCUAACACAUGCAAGUCGAAUGGUAACAGGAAACAGCUUGCUGUUUCGCUGACGAGUGGCGGACGGGUGAGUAAUGUCUGGGAAACUGCCUGAUGGAGGGGGAUAACUACUGGAAACGGUAGCUAAUACCGCAUAACGUCGCAUGACCAAAGAGGGGGACCUUCGGGCCUCUUGCCAUCAGAUGUGCCCAGAUGGGAUUAGCUAGUAGGUGGGGUAACGGCUCACCUAGGCGACGAUCCCUAGCUGGUCUGAGAGGAUGACCAGCCACACUGGAACUGAGACACGGUCCAGACUCCUACGGGAGGCAGCAGUGGGGAAUAUUGCACAAUGGGCGCAAGCCUGAUGCAGCCAUGCCGCGUGUAUGAAGAAGGCCUUCGGGUUGUAAAGUACUUUCAGCGGGGAGGAAGGGAGUAAAGUUAAUACCUUUGCUCAUUGACGUUACCCGCAGAAGAAGCACCGGCUAACUCCGUG
Molecule: ribosomal RNA, 490 nt
Filed under: uncultured bacterium
Lineage: Bacteria
Description: partial 16S ribosomal RNA
Rfam family: Bacterial small subunit ribosomal RNA
Source: RNAcentral